GAGAGAAGGAGGCCGGGGACAGAAGCUGAGGACGGAGAAGAAAGUGAGAACCCUCAGGCUGACUGCUGCUCGGUGCAGGCCCAGCGCUAAGGUCAGGGGAGGAGUCCUCCCGCCGCGACAGCUGAGCCGGGAAGCUGGCCUCCCUCCUGCAGCAGCUGGCUACCAAGAACGCGGGCAGGGGCGCCUGGCCUUCCGCUCAGCUCCCAGAACCCGGCCCGUGUGGCCUUUCUGAACUCCUGCCCUUAUCCCGGGCCUCAGCUAUGUGCAGUAAGAGAAGCUGAUGAUUUUUAAAAACCCAACCCCAGCGAUCGCUGGGGGGGGGGGGGGGUCUGCUGAAAGAAAGCGAAAAAAGGCAAGGCUUUGAAUUACAUGCUCAGCACUGAUGAGCAUGAGAGCUGCAACCGGGAUGAAAUCUUUAGCCCUCAAUCCAGAGCUCCUCUGCCAGAGAAAACAAUGAGAAACGUGUCUCGCCUUUGUUCACCGACUGCUCCAUUACAUUCCCCACCUCUGCGAUUUUCAUUCUGUACUUCGCCACAUGCAAUUUCGGAGCCACUCGCUAGAGGUCGCUGUUUAUCGCCAGCAAACCGCAGCUCUGCAGGAGGGUGGCAAGGGUCCCUCCGCCCUGCAGAGGCCGCAACCUGCAGGCUUUGGCAGAGGAAAGCCACGCCCAGGCCGGCUCGGUCUUGCCUGCAAGAACGUUUGCCGUUGCUCUCACCCACAGAAUCACAAAAGGAGGAGAAAGCAAAGUAUUCAAGGUGCUUCCAACAGACUCUAAUGUGGGUUUUUAAAAUCCUGAAUAAUUUGUGACUUUUCAAUAUGCCCCCUGUUCCUACGGGUGCUUCCCAGGUGACCCACCAAGCAAUCCCAAGGAAGGGCUUGAAUCAAUCCCGAGGCUCACGUCAGACUGCACCUACAGCUAGCCACUACCCCUGUCGCCACUGGGGGAGCCUUUCCCAGCUGGUGCCCUGCCCAGAAUACAAAAACAGCUUCGAAACAGAAUGACAGGACCGUGGAGCUGCUAACACAGGACGCAGUCAGCGCCUCCCCUGAUAUGCGGAUUCUAGAGAGGCUACUCAAAGAAAGAGCAAUGUUCUAACUGAAGCUUGCCUUUCCUUUGGAAGUUGGCACGGGUUCUUGGGACCAAGAGACACUGUGGAAUGCGGGCUGCAAAAAAUGUCACCAAAACAACCUGUUGACAAGCCAGAGCUCUGUUUAUUGCUCACAGCAAUAAAUGAGAUUUCUACUGCCUGUACUCCCAGCACUCUGGAAGGCUGAGACAGAAGGAUCCUAAGUUUGAGCCAAGCUUGAACAACUUGAAAGACACCGUCUCUGAAUUUUACAAUGAUAAAUAAAAAAAAAAAACAAUAGAACAACAAAGGACUGAAGAUGUCUGAAAAAAAAACCCUUCUCCUCCUAGUCUUGCCAGCAUCUCAGAUGGACUAAAGAAUGUGUAGUCCUGGAUUCUGCAGUGUAGUUUAAGGCAAAUCUUUCAGUGUGCCGACACGGUUAUGACUGAGUAAGGAUCAUGAUAUUAACAUUUAAGAUGGAUGCACCAAACAAAACAGGAUUUUGAGGCAAGAAGUUUUCAAGAGUCUUGGGUAUAAACUGAUGCUUUUGAUUGAAGAGGUAUUUCAAUCAGUUUCUGUCAUGAUCAAAGUUAUCUGCAGCUUCCACCUGCCUGAGGGAGAAUUUCCUGGAGGUGUGCUAAGGAAGACAGCACAGGAGUAAAGCUCUGUGUAGAGCGGAUGAUGUGGAUCUAGAGGUUUGCUGCUCACUAAUAAGGAACCUCUGAAGCCAACAGCGCUCCGUACCCCUCUGCUCUGAUCCCAGCCAGCCAGUUCCACGACUCCUGCAGAAUCUGCAGACCUACAGGGUUGAGCCUCUCGUCUUCCCCCAUCGUGGCUCUGAGGUAGACUAGCCUAGAAGAGAUAGACAGGUAGAAAGGAGACAAGAAAAAAAGUCAUAAUUUUAAAAUUAUAUGUUUAAGAAAACUGUAGUUUCUGGACACAACAUGAGGGUUGUAAUGUCUUUCAGGAAACUUGCUCUCAAAUUGAUAAAAGAUACAAUAAGUCUGAGAAUUGGGCCUCUGCCUUUCUCCUGAAAAUGAAGCCUAAGUUUUUAUCCCGAUACUGUAAACUCUCAAGCUCUGCAGACUUCUACACUGAAGGGAACCACACAGUUCAUUAGGUACCUAGCUCUAAACUUCAAAUGCAUGCAAAUGGUUUGCAGCUUGGCUUAGCCCACUCACAGGUGACCUGACAGACACGAAGUACACAUGGUCGAUCAUCGAUCUUGAGGACGCCCCGAAGAACACUAAAUACCCCAGUCUCAGAUCAUGCUGUACCUCUGUCUUGAGGGCUUGUACUCAUUUCCUUUAUAUACUUAUUUAACUUUGCCUGAGGAAUCUGUCUAUGCCUCUCACUGAUGGAUCUUCAAACGCUUUUCUGUGAUGGAAGUCAGUGACCUACUCUGUGGGUAGGCACCAAUUGAGGGCUCCAUCUCUUCUUUGGGGAGACUGCCUGGGGUCUCAUCUGGUGACCCAUCAAUUCACCAUCUAGAAGGUAAAGCAUUCCUGUUGCAUCCUAGCUCAGAUGCCCAUCGUCUGUCCACCAGGUUCCCUGGGCUUUCGUGGCAACAGAAUUCCUUCCAGUCUUCUGGACAGGUCUUGACAUGUCCAAACCCACACACAGUAGUCGGUCUAUAUGGGCCCUUUCCCUAGGACUCCCACAGAUACAACAUUGCAUAAGAAGCAGAAUGUGACUCUUGAGCACUUUUUUGUGGCAUCAUGUUUAAAAAUACUACAAAAAUCAUGUACGUCAUUAUUUUCAUUACUAUAGCAAAUGGGGCCAAGAUGGGUAAACACCAACAUUUCCACUCCUUUUUUCCUACUGUAGUCUUUGCUGACAAUCUUCUGACCAGCCGGGGACCACAUUUCUUGGCUUUACGUGACUCUGUGUGGCCACAUGGCUGAGUCUCGCCAAAGAGCUGCGAGCAGAAAUGACACUCAGUCUUACAGUUCGGGGCUUCAUUUCUUCCUCCUAUUCUGCCAGUUUGAUGUAGAUAAUAGUAAGGUCCAGGGCACAGCCAGUAAGAGAGAAGCAGCCUGAGUCUCAGGAUUGAAAAAUCAGGUGAAGUCACCAGCCACAUGGGAAAUGAAGGAGAAAUAAACUCCUGUUAGGCUAACAAUACAGAAUGUUUGCUCUGUUUGUUAGAGCAGAUCAUGAAAGAAGUAAAAUGAUAAUACUCCUCCCAUGGAGAGUCCGAAGAAAACAAUCUCUGUCAUUAUUUUGAACCUAAAAACCUACCCUAGAAAAAAAUACCAGGCUCUGGUUUUGGGUGGCCUUGACAGAAAACCAGAAUAAAUUAAUUUGGAUUUUAGCAUAUUAAUAAGGUAGCAGGUAUUUAUAGAACAUCAUUAGGUGAUCAUCCUUUUGAGAACCAGUUUGCUUCUCGGGAAAGGUUUUGGCAGCUGUGAAAAGGCUGAUAAGAUUUCAUUAUUCCUCUGCACACUGCAACAAACUGAGAUAUUCUGCUUUACAUGCUUCAGAUGGAGAGAAAGACAGAGACAAAGUUCCGUUUCAGCCAGAGCUGCCUCGAUAUAUAGGUCAUGUUUCCCAGAACUGAGUGUGCUGCAGAACCAGAACAACCUCCCCAGAGCCCUUCAAAGCAGUACCCUUGUCUGGAAGAAUUAAUGUCCUUCUUUGCCACAGGAGCCCCGACUUUCAGAGCCCCUCCUUCUACUUGGGCUCCCCGAGUGCAAGUAUUUGGACUGCAUUGAAAAAAAAAAAUAAGAAAUAUCCCCUCUUAUUUCUUAUAUUCUAACAUGUGAUAGAAGAGGACUUAAUACUGACCCGGGCACACACAUGUUAGGAUCCCCAGGAUAGCAACUGUAAAAGAGCUUAGCCACGUUGGUUUGGGAGCGAGCCCUGCCCAAGAGCAUUGCUACCGUGUGUGAGCUUGUGCAUUCUGAGUUCUUUAUUCUGACCUUACAGUCCCACUAUGGCAUUUAACCAGCUUCUCUGCCUGCUAUGCCAUUUUCCGUAAGACAAAUGGAUGCAAUCGGUCAAUUUCAUGGGGUUGGGGUAGUUUAUAGAUGUUAAACGGUGACAGACUAUAAACGAGGGAAAUACAGAGGACUGGAAAUAAAUACUACUUAAAUGCCAA
Cavia porcellus (domestic guinea pig) is the source of this 4164-nucleotide long non-coding RNA. RefSeq lists it as uncharacterized. The record is from RefSeq and is a predicted model, not a curated record. Lineage: Eukaryota; Metazoa; Chordata; Mammalia; Rodentia; Caviidae. The transcript is spliced from 2 exons.